Oryza sativa Japonica Group (Japanese rice) is the source of this 3243-nucleotide long non-coding RNA. RefSeq lists it as uncharacterized. The record is from RefSeq and is a predicted model, not a curated record. Lineage: Eukaryota; Viridiplantae; Streptophyta; Magnoliopsida; Poales; Poaceae.
CCGCGCCCCUCUCUCUCGUCCGGCCUAGAGAGAAAGAAAAGUCUCCUUUGCAACCCUCUACCUCCCUUCUCUCUGACGCUUCGGGUCCACUCGGCACAGUGCCGUCUUCCUCCUCCAGCCAGCCUCACUCCCCGUGCCCGUGCGUUGCAACACAGUCUCCUCCACCAAAUCCGCCCGCGCCGUUGCUCCUCAUCCAAAAUUGAUCACGGAAACGGAAUCCUCUAGGCUUCCCCGAAGAAACCCCAAUUUUCGCGAAGUAAAUCGCGCGAAUUUCUGCCCCGUUCUUAUCCCGACGAACUAAUUUUCCUUGACCGAAUCCCUCAAAUACGACUCGAUCUCUACCUCCUCCGCCUAUAUAAAGAUGCCCCAGAUCUCCUCUUUGGUACCCUCCUUUCCCCCGAGCCGCCGUGCCCUAGCCACCUCUCCCCGCGAGAUUGCACUCUCUCCGCCGCCAACUCCGGCCACGUUGCGUCGCGCCGCCCCUCUGGUCGACGCCGCCUUGCGCUGUCGCCUCCUUCGGCUGCACAAGGACAAGUGCUACCUCGGCCGCCGGCUCCCUUGCGCCGAAGACCGCCGGAAGCCGCUUACCCAAACGAACCCGAGCGCCGCUGCCUCCCGUCGACCUCCAGCCGUCACCCACCGUUGUUCCCGCCAUUCCGAACCUUUGCCGUCGCCAUCCCCGUCAUCGCAGCGCCGAGGAGAAGCCCGUCUACCCCUUCGAUGCCGCGGCCCGUCGCCGGAAAGCCGCCGCCUGCGCCGACCCGAGCUCGCCGCCCUUUGGAGCUCGCCGCCGGUGUCUCCCUUCGCCAUGUGUCAUCGUGUAAGUAGUGGUAAGGAUCGCCUCGGUCCCUUCUUCCUCCCCGUGCCCUCUGUUUCCGCCGGAGCACCACCGUUCGCCGGCGACCCUCGGUUCCUAAGCCGGCCCGCGUCGAUCCCGCAUGGCUUCCACGUCGUUGCCAAAUUACCACCACCUCAGCGCCACGUCAUCAUUCUGUCCACGUGGGAGCCGAUCUAAACCUUGGAUCAGCUUCAAUCUAAUCGGUUGGAUCUCAAUCAACUGGCGGUCAAGAUCGAUCUGAGCCAUCCAUCCCGUGGACCCGUGGACCAUUUUGUGGACUUGGUUCAUGGUAGCGGCUCCAUGACUAGUAGGUCCCACCUGUCAUCAACCUUAUCUCUCUUCUCUCCUAGUGCUGACGUCAUAUUCCUCUACUUUUGCGUACAAACAUAAUUAAAUAUGAUGCAGUAAAUCAUUUAGUUCGUUUUUAUAGGGUUUUAUUAUUAAAACUUUAGUAAUUCAUAAUUAAUUCAUAUGAACUCGGAAUGAGCUCGUUCAAGUUUCAAUUCAUAUGAACUCGGAAUGAGCUUGUUCAAGUUUCAUAAUUCAUAUAUCUCUACUCAUUUAUGAACUUCAGUUGUACUGUUUAUUUGGUUUCUAUUAGUGUUUUCUCUCGUUCUGUUUAUGAAGGAUCGUUCGUUCACUGGAGAAGUUCCUGAAGACGAAGAUGCUUAUUUGUAAGGCAAGUCACACAGAUCCAAAAUACCCUUUGAGAAUGCUGAACACAUGUUUAAAAUUCUCUAUUUCAAUCAAAUAUGUAUUUAUUUUCGAAUGUCAUUGGGUGGUGAGCCUUUUUUCUCAUAUUAUGGCCGAAGAUGAUUUUAUUAUCUUAUGGGUUAUAAUUUGACUAGGUUGGACCUUAUAUAUUGGUUCAGCUAUAUAUUAGAUGUAAUUGUUUAUCCAUGCUUAGAAACAUUAGCACACUAUUGGGAUAAUGAAUGCUUCACAAUUACUUAAUGAUGGCUAUUUAAUGGUAGCUCGUGAUGGUAAAUCAUGAUUGGUUAAUUAAAUAAUCGCCAGCUAAAACCUGAUAAUGGUGAGUUGUGAGCAUAGUGUUUUGGUGGCCAUGCUGAUGACAAUUAACGACCAGUUCGCAAACUACUGUUGUGAUAAUGAUAAUGGUUCUGAAGCAUAUUAUUCCUCCCUCUCCCUCUUUCGAUCUUCUAAUUGGAAGAACAAAAGAGUGGGUUGGAAUUCGGUUCUUUCGAGCCUUGCUUGGGCUCGUUCUAUCUUUGAAUAUAGCAAUUUCCAUUCCACCUCAAUCCACAUUCCUUUCAUGCUUUGAGCUUCCAGGAAAUCACGGUUGUGGGAAACCACAUCACGGAAGAAAACUUAUCAUUCCUCAUGAUCCCACAGAUCCUGAUAAGCUGCCUGGAGAAUAGAGAAAUCAUCCAGGAGAAUAGAGAAAUCAUCCAUUGCUCGGAUAGAGUCAAGAUAGGAACAAAGUGCCCCCUCCUAAAGGAAGAGCCUCAGUCGCCCAGGUAUGUCCUCGAGAGGGUUGUUGUCAUUCAACUACUGUUGAUCCUACUCGUAAAGGCUCAGACAUAAGCCAACGUGAGCAACGUCUGGAUGCGUUGUAUAGCAAUAUGGUUCAUUGUGGAGUGCCAGACUGAGAAGUGGCAGAGAGUCCACAGGGUUGCUGGGGAGUCUAUACCCUUUAAAAAGGGUGACUAUGAUCCGGGGAUAGUGCAUUGCUUUUAAUUGUGUCAUGCGAGGUGUCUUGUCACAAUCCUGUUUCGAGGUAUCGUGGUGCUACUGAUGGCAUGGCUACAUGUUAUGGGCUAUGUCUUGUGGGUAAAUUUAUACACCUCCGGUUAUGGGGCGAGCCUAACAAUGUUUUUUCGUGAUUAGUACCAGAAUAUUCAUUAAAAAUAAUAAUGUGAUAAAUGAUGAUGCUUUGGUUUAGCUCCUGGUUUGGAGAUUGGGUCUGUUCAACCGAGCAUGGUUGUUCAGAUAUGGUGGGGCAUAUGCAACAGGUAUGUUGUAUAUCAUUGGAUUAAUACCUUUUAAUUAAUUACUCUACUGUUUUACAAAUUCUCAACUCUUUGCCAAAUGCUUCUUUUGCAAAUGAACCCUAUAUUAUGCCAUCCUAUAUUAUCGCUGUGCACUUGCAUACUUGUUGUGUGCUUUGUGAAGUAUUUCAUAUACUCGCCUUGCAAUAAUCAUCAAACCUCACUUGGAGACAAAGGAUUCAGAAGGAGAAAACCUUUGUCUUAAAUCCUAUUUGAGUUGAAGCUUCGCUAGAUUUUAUUUUUCCGCUGCAAUUUUCUUCGUGGUGAGGACUAAGUUAUUCUUCUGUAAGUAUUUUAUCGCUUUACUUAUUAUGAUAUUCUGUAUAUUAAAUUGUCCUUUCAUGCACCUCGGCUAAUUCCUAGACGAGGAUAUUAAUGCAUAAAUUAGUUCGAAAA